This 416-nucleotide ribosomal RNA is filed under the name uncultured bacterium. RNAcentral's name for it is "bacterial SSU rRNA". It matches the Rfam family "Bacterial small subunit ribosomal RNA", at positions 94 to 518 of the family's 1533-position model. The record is from RNAcentral.
AGUGGCGGACGGGUGAGUAACGCGUGAGCAACCUGUCCCAGACAGGGGGAUAACACUUGGAAACAGGUGCUAAUACCGCAUAAGACCACGGGGUCACAUGGCUCUGGGGGUAAAAAGGAGCAAUCCGGUUUGGGGUGGGCUCGCGUCCGAUUAGAUAGUUGGUGAGGUAACGGCCCACCAAGUCGACGAUCGGUAGCCGACCUGAGAGGGUGAUCGGCCACAUUGGGAACUGAGAGACGGUCCAAACUCCUACGGGAGGCAGCAGUGGGGAAUAUUGGGCAAUGGGCGAAAAAGCCUGACCCAGCAACGCCGCGUGAGUGAAGAAGGCCUUCGGGUUGUAAAGCUCUGUUAUAGGGGACGAAGGAAGUGACGGUACCCUAUAAGGAAGCCCCGGCUAACUACGUGCCAGCCGCCGC